Molecule: transfer RNA, 73 nt
Filed under: Ixodes scapularis (black-legged tick)
Lineage: Eukaryota; Metazoa; Arthropoda; Arachnida; Ixodida; Ixodidae
Description: tRNA-Pro
Source: RNAcentral
GGCGGAGCGGUGUAGUGGUAGUAUACCCGACCGGGAUAUUGGGAGACUCUAAGUUCAGAUCCCGGCUCCGCCA